Molecule: transfer RNA, 75 nt
Filed under: Sinorhizobium medicae
Lineage: Bacteria; Pseudomonadati; Pseudomonadota; Alphaproteobacteria; Hyphomicrobiales; Rhizobiaceae
Also listed under: 2 other names
Description: tRNA-Met
Source: RNAcentral
UGUCGGCGUAGAGCAGCCCGGUAACUCGUCAGCUUCAUAAGCUGGAGAGCCGCAAGUCGAACCCUGUCGCCGCAA